This 404-nucleotide ribosomal RNA is filed under the name uncultured bacterium. RNAcentral's name for it is "bacterial SSU rRNA". It matches the Rfam family "Bacterial small subunit ribosomal RNA", at positions 355 to 775 of the family's 1533-position model. The record is from RNAcentral.
UAGGGAAUAUUGCUUAAUGGGCGAAAGCCUGAAGCAGCAACGCCGCGUGUGUGAAGAAGGCCUUCGGGUUGUAAAACACUUUUUGAGGGAAUGAGGAAGGACAGUACCCUCAGAAUAAGCCUCGGCUAACUACGUGCCAGCAGCCGCGGUAAAACGUAGGAGGCGAGCGUUAUCCGGAUUUACUGGGCGUAAAGCGCGUGCAGGCGGCACGGCAAGUUGGAUGUGAAAGCUCCCGGCUUAACUGGGAGAGGUCGUACAAGACUGCCGAGCUAGAGUGCGGGAGAGGGAGGUGGAAUUCCGGGUGUAGUGGUGAAAUGCGUAGAUAUCCGGAGGAACACCAGUGGCGAAAGCGGCCUCCUGGUCCGCAACUGACGCUCAGACGCGAAAGCUAGGGUAGCAAACGG